Molecule: ribosomal RNA, 329 nt
Filed under: uncultured eukaryote
Lineage: Eukaryota
Description: partial 18S ribosomal RNA
Rfam family: Eukaryotic small subunit ribosomal RNA
Source: RNAcentral
CCCUUAGAUGUUCUGGGCCGCACGCGCGCUACACUGAUGCAUUCAACGAGUCUAAAACCUGCUCUGAUAGGGGUGGGUAAUCUUUUGAAUGUGCAUCGUGAUUGGGAUAGAUGAUUGCAAUUUUUCAUCUUCAACGAGGAAUGCCUAGUAAACGCAAGUCAUCAGCUUGCAUUGAUUACGUCCCUGCCCUUUGUACACACCGCCCGUCGCUCCUACCGAUUGAAUGAUCCGAUGAAUAUCAUGGAUUGAGGAUGCAAGUAGGUUAGCCUAUCUUCAUCUUCGAGAAGUGAAGUAAAUCCUAUCAUUUAGAGGAAGGAGAAGUCGUAACA